CCCAGUCGGUGUCCUCAUAAGCUCGCAGUGUCGUGCAGGAAUGGUGUGACAGCCUCUCGCUCAUCCUCAGGAAGGCGUAUAGAAGACCUUGACCUUUCUUACCUGGACUCCUUGGCUCAGUUUCUUCUCUUGGGAGGUGAGUUUAGCAUUAUUGGAUGUGUGCAGCAUCUCAGUCCCGGAAAGGCUGCGGAGUUCUGGGCAGGUUCUGGUUGUGAAAGAAAGGUAUGGGUCUUGUGUAGAGGUGGGUGUGUCA
This 253-nucleotide long non-coding RNA is filed under the name Felis catus (domestic cat). Its description in RNAcentral is "lncRNA (ENSFCAG00000052316.1)". Lineage: Eukaryota; Metazoa; Chordata; Mammalia; Carnivora; Felidae. The record is from RNAcentral.